RNAcentral lists this ribosomal RNA (500 nucleotides) under uncultured bacterium. RNAcentral's name for it is "partial 16S ribosomal RNA". It matches the Rfam family "Bacterial small subunit ribosomal RNA", at positions 30 to 523 of the family's 1533-position model. The record is from RNAcentral.
AUUGAACGCUGGCGGAAUGCUUUACACAUGCAAGUCGAACGGCAGCACGGACUUCGGUCUGGUGGCGAGUGGCGAACGGGUGAGUAAUGUAUCGGAACGUGCCCAGUCGUGGGGGAUAACGUAGUGAAAAUUACGCUAAUACCGCAUACGAUCUAUGGAUGAAAGCGGGGGAUCGCAAGACCUCGCGCGAUUGGAGCGGCUGAUAUCAGAUUAGGUAGUUGGUGGGGUAAAGGCCCACCAAGCCAACGAUCUGUAGCUGGUCUGAGAGGACGACCAGCCACACUGGAACUGAGACACGGUCCAGACUCCUACGGGGGGCAGCAGUGGGGAAUUUUGGACAAUGGGCGAAAGCCUGAUCCAGCCAUUCCGCGUGCAGGAUGAAGGCCCUCGGGUUGUAAACUGCUUUUGUACAGAACGAAAAGGUUUCUACUAAUACUAGGAGCUCAUGACGGUACUGUAAGAAUAAGCACCGGCUAACUACGUGCCAGCCGCCGCAGUAA